ACGUCGUUCGAUUCGUAUUUUGUUUAUUACCCAAUGGCAGAAGUUAAAAAAAGUGCCUACAAAUAUUGUAUUGUUCCUAUGUGUCAAAGCACAACAGUUAAAAAUCCCAAUAAAAUAUUUUUUCGUGUACCAAAUAAUAUAACAAUAAGGAAAAAGUGGUGCAAAGUAAUGAAGCGUGAUUUAAUUGGCCCUAAAAGCACUAAAUAUGUGUGUGAAGAUCAUUUUGAUGUUGAAAAUGACACCAACAAUUUAGUAAAACAUCGACUGGUUGGGGGAACAUUAAAGUUAAAACCCGAAAUAUAUCCUCAUAAAUUUGACUGUCAAAAGGCGGUGAAACCUCAAAAAGAACGAGGAGCAUAUGAAAAAAGACAUCGGAUUGAAUUUUAUGAAAGUCUUUUAACAAAAGAAGCACCGUCGACUUCAAGUCAAGCUUCUUCUUUUCAAUGUUUUGAAAUUAUUGACUGUGAUGCCAUGGAGUCAGAUGAAACAGAGGAUCUGCUAGCAGAGAACAUUACUUUUCCAGAAUCAGAUAAUCAUCCAAAUAAAAAGAGAAACAAAGGAGUUCAAGUAAACAUCAAAAGUUCACAGAAAAA
Molecule: long non-coding RNA, 593 nt
Organism: Vanessa tameamea
Lineage: Eukaryota; Metazoa; Arthropoda; Insecta; Lepidoptera; Nymphalidae
Exons: 2
Source: RefSeq, a predicted model, not a curated record